Molecule: ribosomal RNA, 717 nt
Filed under: uncultured Lactobacillus sp.
Lineage: Bacteria; Bacillati; Bacillota; Bacilli; Lactobacillales; Lactobacillaceae
Description: bacterial SSU rRNA
Rfam family: Bacterial small subunit ribosomal RNA
Source: RNAcentral
UGCCUAAUACAUGCAAGUCGUACGCACUGGCCCAACUGACUGAUGGUGCUUGCACCUGAUUGACGAUGGAUUACCAGUGAGUGGCGGACGGGUGAGUAACACGUAGGUAACCUGCCCCGGAGCGGGGGAUAACAUUUGGAAACAGAUGCUAAUACCGCAUAACAACAAAAGCUACAUGGCUUUUGUUUGAAAGAUGGCUUUGGCUAUCACUCUGGGAUGGACCUGCGGUGCAUUAGCUAGUUGGUAAGGUAACGGCUUACCAAGGCGAUGAUGCAUAGCCGAGUUGAGAGACUGAUCGGCCACAAUGGAACUGAGACACGGUCCAUACUCCUACGGGAGGCAGCAGUAGGGAAUCUUCCACAAUGGGCGCAAGCCUGAUGGAGCAACACCGCGUGAGUGAAGAAGGGUUUCGGCUCGUAAAGCUCUGUUGUUGGAGAAGAACGUGCGUGAGAGUAACUGUUCACGCAGUGACGGUAUCCAACCAGAAAGUCACGGCUAACUACGUGCCAGCAGCCGCGGUAAUACGUAGGUGGCAAGCGUUAUCCGGAUUUAUUGGGCGUAAAGCGAGCGCAGGCGGUUGCUUAGGUCUGAUGUGAAAGCCUUCGGCUUAACCGAAGAAGUGCAUCGGAAACCGGGCGACUUGAGUGCAGAAGAGGACAGUGGAACUCCAUGUGUAGCGGUGGAAUGCGUAGAUAUAUGGAAGAACACCAGUGGCGA